This is a non-coding RNA of Brassica napus (rape), 61 nucleotides long. NCBI's taxonomy places the organism in Eukaryota, Viridiplantae, Streptophyta, Magnoliopsida, Brassicales, Brassicaceae. The record is from Rfam.
GGGUCCUUAGCUCAGUGGUAGAGCAUUUGACUGCAGAUCAAGAGGUCGCCGGUAGGGCCCU